This 246-nucleotide ribosomal RNA is filed under the name Triticum aestivum (bread wheat). RNAcentral's name for it is "partial small subunit ribosomal RNA". Lineage: Eukaryota; Viridiplantae; Streptophyta; Magnoliopsida; Poales; Poaceae. The record is from RNAcentral.
CGGAAAAGGAGGGAGAAAAAAGAAAAAAUGAACGGCCUCUUCUGGAAUUGUAGAGGAGCAGGUAAAAGAGGGAGAGCUACCUGCUUCUCUGACAUUAUUAGAGAUCACUCUCUCGACUUUUUAGGUAUCCUUGAAACUAAGAAGGAGAAUUUUGCACCUAAAUACCUGAGAAAAGUGGAUCCCUUUGAUAGAUUUACAUGGAAUUGGUCCCCUUCCAGUGGUAAGUCUGGUGACAUACUUUGUGGU